RNAcentral lists this ribosomal RNA (454 nucleotides) under uncultured bacterium. RNAcentral describes it as "bacterial SSU rRNA". It matches the Rfam family "Bacterial small subunit ribosomal RNA", at positions 340 to 786 of the family's 1533-position model. The record is from RNAcentral.
UACGGGAGGCAGCAGUGGGGAAUAUUGCACAAUGGGCGCAAGCCUGAUGCAGCCAUGCCGCGUGUAUGAAGAAGGCCUUCGGGUUGUAAAGUACUUUCAGUCGUGAGGAAGGUGUUAAGGUUAAUAACCUUAGCAAUUGACGUUAGCGACAGAAGAAGCACCGGCUAACUCCGUGCCAGCAGCCGCGGUAAUACGGAGGGUGCGAGCGUUAAUCGGAAUUACUGGGCGUAAAGGGCACGCAGGCGGUUAAUUAAGUUGGAUGUGAAAUCCCCGGGCUUAACCUGGGAAUGGCAUUCAAGACUGGUUAGCUAGAGUCUUGUAGAGGGGGUAGAAUUCCAUGUGUAGCGGUGAAAUGCGUAGAGAUGUGGAGGAAUACCGGCGGCGAAGGCGGCCCCUGGGACAAAGACUGACGCUCAUGUGCGAAAGCGUGGGGAGCAAACAGGGAUUAGAUACC